GACGAACGCUGGCGGCGUGCCUAAUACAUGCAAGUCGAGCGAAUCAAUAGGAGCUUGCUCCUGUUGAUUAGCGGCGGACGGGUGAGUAACACGUGGGCAACCUGCCUGUAAGAUCGGGAUAACUUCGGGAAACCGGAGCUAAUACCGGAUAAUCCUUUUCCACAUAUGUGGGAAAGCAGAAAGACGGUUUCAGCUGUCACUUACAGAUGGGCCCGCGGCGCAUUAGCUAGUUGGUGAGGUAACGGCUCACCAAGGCGACGAUGCGUAGCCGACCUGAGAGGGUGAUCGGCCACACUGGGACUGAGACACGGCCCAGACUCCUACGGGAGGCAGCAGUAGGGAAUCUUCCGCAAUGGACGAAAGUCUGACGGAGCAACGCCGCGUGAGCGAUGAAGGCCUUCGGGUCGUAAAGCUCUGUUGUUAGGGAAGAACAAGUAUCGGAGUAACUGCCGGUACCUUGACGGUACCUAACCAGAAAGCCACGGCUAACUACGUGCCAGCCGCCGCGGUAA
RNAcentral lists this ribosomal RNA (512 nucleotides) under uncultured bacterium. RNAcentral's name for it is "partial 16S ribosomal RNA". It matches the Rfam family "Bacterial small subunit ribosomal RNA", at positions 28 to 523 of the family's 1533-position model. The record is from RNAcentral.